Molecule: ribosomal RNA, 510 nt
Filed under: uncultured bacterium
Lineage: Bacteria
Description: bacterial SSU rRNA
Rfam family: Bacterial small subunit ribosomal RNA
Source: RNAcentral
CGCGAAUUCGCCCUUAGAGUUUGAUCCUGGCUCAGGAUGAACGCUAGCGGCAGGCUUAACACAUGCAAGUCGAGGGGCAGCGAGAUCAGUGCUUGCACUGAUUGUCGGCGACCGGCGCACGGGUGCGUAACGCGUAUGCAACCUACCCAUUACAGGGGGAUAACACUGAGAAAUCGGUACUAAUACCCCAUAACAUCCAGGGAGGCAUCUUCUUGGGUUGAAAACUCCGGUGGUAAUGGAUGGGCAUGCGUUGUAUUAGUUAGUUGGUGGGGUAACGGCUCACCAAGACCACGAUACAUAGGGGGACUGAGAGGUUAACCCCCCACAUUGGUACUGAGACACGGACCAAACUCCUACGGGAGGCAGCAGUGAGGAAUAUUGGUCAAUGGACGCAAGUCUGAACCAGCCAUGCCGCGUGCAAGAAGACGGCUCUAUGAGUUGUAAACUGCUUUUGUACGAGGGUAAACGCAGAUACGCGUAUCUGUCUGAAAGUAUCGUACGAAUAAGGAU